Regulatory RNA element from Clostridium acetireducens DSM 10703, 110 nucleotides. It matches the Rfam family "PyrR binding site". From Rfam's summary of the family: This family represents the PyrR binding site and terminator structure. This RNA structure is found upstream of a variety of genes involved in pyrimidine biosynthesis and transport. The record is from Rfam. NCBI's taxonomy places the organism in Bacteria, Bacillati, Bacillota, Clostridia, Eubacteriales, Clostridiaceae.
AGUACCUUUAACAAGAUCCAGAGAGGUCUUGAAGGAAGAGUAGAUAAUUUUUAAAUAAGAUUUUUGUAGACGGGAUAUCUAUGCCUUCCUUUAAGGAAGGCAUUUUUUAU